UACAUGGGGUGCAAACGUUGCUCGGAAUUAUUGGGCGUAAAGCGCACGUAGGUGGUCUGUUAUGUCAGAUGUGAAAGCCCUCGGCUUAACUGAGGAAGUGCACCUGAAACUGGCAGGCUUGAGUACGAAAGAGGGUCGCGGAAUUCCCGGUGUAGAGGUGAAAUUCGUAGAUAUCGGGAGGAACACCGAUGGCGAAGGCAGGUCACUGGGCCGCAACUGACGCUGAGGAGCGAAAGCAUGGGGAGCGAACAGG
This 253-nucleotide ribosomal RNA is filed under the name uncultured bacterium. Its description in RNAcentral is "partial 16S ribosomal RNA". It matches the Rfam family "Bacterial small subunit ribosomal RNA", at positions 524 to 776 of the family's 1533-position model. The record is from RNAcentral.